CGAGUUGGAGUUGACCCCCGUCGAGAUGUUGGCCGCUGAAGAGGAGGGCAAUGUGGGCUGCUGGUCCGGCACCGCCGCCGCGGCGAGUGCCAGGCAGAGGAGGACGGCGCCGUAAAGCGGCGCGCCCAUGGCGGCGGGUUCUAGCUGGCUCUGGAUUAGGUGCGGUUGCUGCUGCGUCUGCGGUGGUGGUGCGUUCUCUGGGAAGAAGGAGGAGUGAGAAACGGGGAGUGUGGUUCACUGCUCCUCCCUCUUGAAGAGAGAGAGAGAACGCGUUGUGGGCGCCUGCCUGUCGGUGCUUCACGGCGCGCAGCCACGCACAGCUUUCCGUUAAAAUUGACAAAAUUGACUCCUAUGUGGAAAGAAGUCACAAAGUGAAUCCAUG
This 382-nucleotide long non-coding RNA is filed under the name Hordeum vulgare. Its description in RNAcentral is "long non-coding RNA (HVUL_LNC004347)". Lineage: Eukaryota; Viridiplantae; Streptophyta; Magnoliopsida; Poales; Poaceae. The record is from RNAcentral.